GACGAACGCUGGCGGCGCGCCUAACACAUGCAAGUCGAACGGAGCUGAGAGAAGCUUGCUUUUCUUAGCUUAGUGGCGAACGGGUGAGUAACGCGUGAGUAACCUGCCCUGGAGUGGGGGACAACAGUUGGAAACGACUGCUAAUACCGCAUAAGCCCACGAUCCGGCAUCGGAUUGAGGGAAAAGGAUUUAUUCGCUUCAGGAUGGACUCGCGUCCAAUUAGCUAGUUGGUGAGGUAACGGCCCACCAAGGCGACGAUUGGUAGCCGGCCUGAGAGGUUGAACGGCCACAUUGGGACUGAGACACGGACCAGACUCCUACGGGAGGCAGCAGUGGGGGAUAUUGCACAAUGGGGGAAACCCUGAUGCAGCGACGCCGCGUGGAGGAAGAAGGUUUUCGGAUUGUAAACUCCUGUCGUUAGGGACGAUAAUGACGGUACCUAACAAGAAAGCACCGGCUAACUACGUG
RNAcentral lists this ribosomal RNA (468 nucleotides) under uncultured bacterium. RNAcentral's name for it is "partial 16S ribosomal RNA". It matches the Rfam family "Bacterial small subunit ribosomal RNA", at positions 28 to 507 of the family's 1533-position model. The record is from RNAcentral.